RNAcentral lists this ribosomal RNA (467 nucleotides) under uncultured bacterium. Its description in RNAcentral is "partial 16S ribosomal RNA". It matches the Rfam family "Bacterial small subunit ribosomal RNA", at positions 28 to 507 of the family's 1533-position model. The record is from RNAcentral.
GAUGAACGCUGGCGGCGUGCUUAACACAUGCAAGUCGAACGGAAAGGCCCAAGCUUGCUUGGGUACUCGAGUGGCGAACGGGUGAGUAACACGUGGGUGAUCUGCCCUGCACUUCGGGAUAAGCCUGGGAAACUGGGUCUAAUACCGGAUAGGACCACUUCUUGGAUGUUGUGGUGGAAAGUUUUUUCGGUGUGGGAUGAGCUCGCGGCCUAUCAGCUUGUUGGUGGGGUAAUGGCCUACCAAGGCGUCGACGGGUAGCCGGCCUGAGAGGGUGUACGGCGACAUUGGGACUGAGAUACGGCCCAGACUCCUACGGGAGGCAGCAGGGGGGAAUAUUGCACAAUGGGCGCAAGCCUGAUGCAGCGACGCCGCGGGGGGGAUGACGGCCUUCGGGUUGUAAACUCCUUUCGCUAGGGACGAAGCGUUUUGUGACGGUACCUGGAGAAGAAGCACCGGCUAACUACGUG